RNAcentral lists this ribosomal RNA (440 nucleotides) under uncultured bacterium. RNAcentral describes it as "partial 16S ribosomal RNA". It matches the Rfam family "Bacterial small subunit ribosomal RNA", at positions 338 to 795 of the family's 1533-position model. The record is from RNAcentral.
CCUACGGGUGGCUGCAGUAGGGAAUAUUGCUCAAUGGGCGAAACCCUGAACCAGCAACGCCGCGUGGAGGAUGAAUGUUCUAGGAUUGUUAACCCCUUUUGUUAGAGAAGAUAAUGACGGUAUCUAACGAAUAAGCACCGUCUAACUCCGUGCCAGCAGCCGCGGUAAUAUGGAGGGUGCAAGCGUUACUCGGAAUUACUGGGCGUAAACAGCGCGUAGGCGGGAUAGCAAGUCAGAUGUGAAAUCCUAUGGCUUAACCAUAAAACUGCAUUUGAAACUGUUAUGCUAGAGUAUGGGAGAGGUAGGUGGAAUUCGUGGGGUAGGGGUAAAAUGCGUAGAGAUCAAGAAGAAUACUGAUUGCGAAGGCGACCUGCUAGAACAAAACUGACGCUGAUGCGCGAAAGCGUGGGUAGCAAACAGGAUUAGAUACCCGGGUAGUC